UACGUAGGGUGCAAGCGUUGUCCGGAAUUAUUGGGCGUAAAGAGCUCGUAGGCGGUUUGUCGCGUCUGCUGUGAAAACCCGAGGCUCAACCUCGGGCCUGCAGUGGGUACGGGCAAACUAGAGUGCGGUAGGGGAGAAUGGAAUUCCUGGUGUAGCGGUGGAAUGCGCAGAUAUCAGGAGGAACACCGGUGGCGAAGGCGGGUCUCUGGGCCGAUAUUGACGCUGAGGAGCGAAAGCGUGGGGAGCGAACGGG
This 253-nucleotide ribosomal RNA is filed under the name uncultured bacterium. RNAcentral describes it as "partial 16S ribosomal RNA". It matches the Rfam family "Bacterial small subunit ribosomal RNA", at positions 524 to 776 of the family's 1533-position model. The record is from RNAcentral.